CAGUAGCCACGGGAAUACGAAGGGGGCUAGCGUUGCUCGGAAUGACUGGGCGUAAAGGGCGCGUAGGCGGUUUAUACAGUCAGAUGUGAAAUUCCUGGGCUCAACCUGGGGACUGCAUUUGAUACGUAUGGACUUGAGUGGAGAAGAGGGUCGUGGAAUUUCCAGUGUAGAGGUGAAAUUCGUAGAUAUUGGAAAGAACACCGGUGGCGAAGGCGGCGACCUGGUCUUUAACUGACGCUGAGGCGCGAAAGCGUGGGGAGCAAACAGGAUUAGAUACCCCGGUAGUCCCUGUCUCUUAUAC
RNAcentral lists this ribosomal RNA (301 nucleotides) under uncultured bacterium. RNAcentral describes it as "partial 16S ribosomal RNA". It matches the Rfam family "Bacterial small subunit ribosomal RNA", at positions 509 to 807 of the family's 1533-position model. The record is from RNAcentral.